CGUAGAUCAACGCUGGCGGCGUGCCUAACACAUGCAAGUCGCACGAGAAAGGGACUUCGGUCUUGAGUAAAGUGGCGCACGGGUGAGUAACACGUGAAUCAUCUACCUUCGAGUGGGGAAUAACUUCGGGAAACCGAGGCUAAUACCGCAUAAUACCUACGGGUCAAAGCAGUAAUGCGCUUGAAGAGGAGUUCGCGGCAGAUUAGUUAGUUGGCGGGGUAAUGGCCCACCAAGACGAUGAUCUGUAUCCGGCCUGAGAGGGCGCACGGACACACUGGAACUGAAACACGGUCCAGACUCCUACGGGAGGCAGCAGUGGGGAAUUUUGCGCAAUGGGGGAAACCCUGACGCAGCAACGCCGCGUGGAGGAAGAAAUAUCUUGGUAUGUAAACUCCUUUCGAUCGGGACGAUAAUGACGGUACCGAGAGAAGAAGCCCCGGCUAACUUCGUGCCAGCAGCCGCGGUAAUACGAGGGGGGCAAGCGUUGUUCGGAAUUAUUGGGCGUAAAGGGCGCGUAGGCGGUUUGACAAGUUUGGUGUGAAAUCUAUGGGCUCAACCCAUAGCCUGCAUCGAAAACUGUCGGGCUUGAGUAUGGGAGAGGUGAGUGGAAUUUCCGGUGUAGCGGUGAAAUGCGUAGAUAUCGGAAGGAACACCUGAGGCGAAAGCGGCUCACUGGACCAUAACUGACGCUGAGGCGCGAAAGCUAGGGGAGCAAACAGGAUUAGAUACCCUGGUAGUCCUAGCCCUAAACGAUGAUUGCUUGAUGUAGCGGGUACCCAAUCCUGCUGUGUCGAAGCUAACGCGAUAAGCAAUCCGUCC
This 819-nucleotide ribosomal RNA is filed under the name Granulicella sp. RNAcentral's name for it is "bacterial SSU rRNA". It matches the Rfam family "Bacterial small subunit ribosomal RNA", at positions 23 to 873 of the family's 1533-position model. Lineage: Bacteria; Pseudomonadati; Acidobacteriota; Terriglobia; Terriglobales; Acidobacteriaceae. The record is from RNAcentral.